Molecule: transfer RNA, 74 nt
Filed under: Candidatus Chlorohelix allophototropha
Lineage: Bacteria; Bacillati; Chloroflexota; Chloroflexia; Candidatus Chloroheliales; Candidatus Chloroheliaceae
Also listed under: 1 other name
Description: tRNA-Val
Rfam family: tRNA
About the family: Transfer RNA (tRNA) molecules are approximately 80 nucleotides in length. Their secondary structure includes four short double-helical elements and three loops (D, anti-codon, and T loops). Further hydrogen bonds mediate the characteristic L-shaped molecular structure. tRNAs have two regions of fundamental functional importance: the anti-codon, which is responsible for specific mRNA codon recognition, and the 3' end, to which the tRNAs corresponding amino acid is attached (by aminoacyl-tRNA synthetases). tRNAs cope with the degeneracy of the genetic code in two manners: having more than one tRNA (with a specific anti-codon) for a particular amino acid; and 'wobble' base-pairing, i.e. permitting non-standard base-pairing at the 3rd anti-codon position.
Source: RNAcentral
GGGCAAUUAGCUCAGUUGGUUAGAGCGCACGGUUCACAUCCGUGAGGUCACUGGUUCGAGCCCAGUAUUGCCCA